Molecule: ribosomal RNA, 564 nt
Filed under: uncultured bacterium
Lineage: Bacteria
Description: bacterial SSU rRNA
Rfam family: Bacterial small subunit ribosomal RNA
Source: RNAcentral
CCUACGGGAGGCAGCAGUGGGGGAAUUUUGCACAAUGGGCGGAAGCCUGAUGCAGCGACGCCGCGUGGAGGAUGAAGGCCUUCGGGUUGUAAACUCCUUUUGUAGGGGACGAUGGUGACGGUACCCUACGAAUAAGCCACGGCUAACUCUGUGCCAGCAGCCGCGGCAAGACAGAGGUGGCGAGCGUUGUUCGGAAUCACUGGGCUUAAAGGGCGCGUAGGUGGUAGGGUAAGUCCAGGGUGGAAUCCUAUGGCUUAACCAUAGAAUUGCCUUGGAGACUGCUUUACUUGAGUCAGUAAGGGGAGGGCAGAAUUCCUGGUGUAGCGGUGAAAUGCGUAGAUAUCAGGAGGAAGGCCGGUGGCGAAGGCGGCCCUCUGGUACUGGACUGACGCUGAGGCGCGAAAGCGUGGGGAGCGAACAGGAUUAGAUACCCUGGUAGUCCUAGCCGUAAACGUUGGGUGCUAGGUGUGGGCGGACAUCGACCCCGUCCGUGCCGAAGCUAACGCAUUAAGCACCCCGCCUGGGGAGUACGGCCGCAAGGCUAAAACUCAAAGGAAUUGACGG